This 440-nucleotide ribosomal RNA is filed under the name uncultured bacterium. Its description in RNAcentral is "partial 16S ribosomal RNA". It matches the Rfam family "Bacterial small subunit ribosomal RNA", at positions 338 to 795 of the family's 1533-position model. The record is from RNAcentral.
CCUACGGGAGGCUGCAGUGGGGAAUAUUGCACAAUGGGGGAAACCCUGAUGCAGCGACGCCGCGUGAGUGAAGAAGUAAUUCGUUAUGUAAAGCUCUAUCAGCAGGGAAGAAAAUGACGGUACCUGAGUAAGAAGCCCCGGCUAACUACGUGCCAGCAGCCGCGGUCAUACGUAGGGGGCAAGCGUUAUCGGGAUUUCAUGGGUGUAAAGGGAGCGUAGACGGCAGUGCAAGUCUGGAGUGAAAGGCGGGGGCUUAACCCCCGGACUGCUCUGGAGACUGUACGGCUGGAGUGCAGGAGAGGUAAGUGGAAUUCCUAGUGUAGCGGUGAAAUGCGUAGAUAUUAGGAGGAACACCAGUGGCGAAGGCGGCUUACUGGACUGUAACUGACGUUGAGGCUCGAAAGCGUGGGGAGCAAACAGGAUUAGAUACCCCGGUAGUC